This is an RNA transcript of Centrocercus urophasianus (Greater sage-grouse), 8998 nucleotides long. It is a transcript of the gene named fibrinogen-like protein 1-like protein, with no coding region annotated. The record is from RefSeq and is a predicted model, not a curated record. The transcript is spliced from 7 exons. Lineage: Eukaryota; Metazoa; Chordata; Aves; Galliformes; Phasianidae.
UAAGGAUUUUUUUUUUUUUUUCUUUCCUGCCUGCCUUUUUCUAACUUUCCAGUACACAUGUGUAGCAUUUCCUUUUGAGUUUAGGUUGGGAGAGCAAGAUGUACAAGCUCAAAGGCUGACCAGCAAGGCAUGGGUCUGCAGAUCAUAUGUAGAUGCAAGGACAAUCCUGGGAAAUAAUCAGUAAGAUUUCACAUACCUGGAAUCAGAAUAAAAUCAAAUUUUGAACAUUGGUACUAAUUUUGGGGAGCAAGGAGGAAUGUUUGAUUUCCUACCACAUUUGAUCAUCCACAUUACAGAUGUGGUUCAAACUGCUUCAACUUGACAGGUGUGAAACAUAAGAGUUGCAUUCAUACAGGCCUAAUUUCUUCACUGUGGUAGUUAAACACCAUGAAAAUAAGGAAUGCCUGAGUUUGGGACCAAGAUUAAGCCUCCUCAAAAGAUUAUAUUUUUUUUUCAAUAGUAAAUAUUGCUAUACCAAGAGAAGAACCUCAAAUGAGAGGUGGAAUGAUUAUUAAAAGACAGGCAUGGUGGAAUGUGUGUAUCAUUCACUGUCACAUUUACUAAAAGCCUUCAGAGAACUGAACCACAAUGUAUGUGAUGAACGUAUGUAGACAGUCCUUUCAUGAAAAUAAUUUCUACUGUAGCUUUGUAGGGGUCCCUGACAGAUGACAUCUGUGAAUCUAAAGACACUUGGUCGAUAUUCCCUAAGAAACCUCAUCUUGUAAUCCACUCAAUGUUCUUGGAUUUCAUUGUACUGUUGAAAUUCAAUUUUUUGGUUCAGUUUGUUUCCCUACCGAUUCUCUUCACGUGCUAUUUACACAGGUUUUUUUUUUUUCCACAUAUAUUUGCCCUUCAUUUUUAUGAGGAGUACAAAGGUCUUGUUGAAAUUGCUCUACAAGUGCUUUUCAACAUGUGCUGGCUGAAAUAAUUGUAUACAUCAGCUGUGCUUUCAAGUGCUUCAGUGUUAGAAACCAAUUAUUCCCAUCACCAGGUAGCCAGCUAAUGGUGGAGGGGUCAUUUGUCAUGGGAAGGUCUGAUCAUGUUUCAGUGCUUUCUUUGUAAGGUGUUUGAGUCUUACUUUACUGUAGAAUUUUUCAAACCCUGCAAUUGUACUCUGAAGAGAACAUCAGAAAGAUACAGACUCAGCCAGAGUUCACUGAGAACAUUUAAAAAACCAACUUAUGUACAGUUUUUCCUUUUGGGGAGGGGAAGGGAAAUGACAUUUUUCAUGGGGAGCCAUAGACACAUUGGGCAACUUGAAUCUCAGUAGCUGACUCUAAUAGUAAUCUGCUGCUUUCAGCCUGCUUUAUUAGUAAGAAAGAAACACCCCUGAAUAAUUCUGCCUCAUUCAAUCUUAAAUCAGUAUUACAAGAAAUGUGUGUGUUGUCUUUCAUAAAUACAGCUGUUUUGCACCUUUUUAUAUGUGAUAACUUCAAUAUAAAGCGUUGGUGAUAGGUGGAUGGUUAGAGUAGAUGGUCUUGGAGGUCUUUUUGAACCUUGCUGGUUGUGUGAUUCUCUGAAAAGCUCCUCCCUUUUCUUGUUUUUCUUCGCUGUUCUAUUCCAUUUACAAGGUUGCUGGAGAGCAACAGAAGUCACGGAGUCUCUUUGGAAAUGAGAUGGUUGCCAUGACAAAGCUCCCGGCUGCUUCUUGGCCCAGAUGAGAAAGUCAUUUUUAGACUCACGUGUUUGAAGGUUAGGCUACAAUGUGUUAAACUGAACAGUAUAGUUAACUGAUUUGAAUCUGCUAAAAAUUGUCUGUUGAAUAGAAUAUUAGUUCUGUUAAUUCAACUGGUUUUAUUGUUGUUUUUCUUUGUUUUUGAUCAGAUAGCCGAGGUAAAGCUGUUGUACUGACAUCAAGAUUUCCACGUUACUGAAUUCAGCUUGUCCAUAGCAUCCCUCUCAAAUGUAUGUCUAACCUUAAAAAUUCCAGAGUAAAGGGAUUUUUUUGUAUGUUAAGUUUGAAUGUUCAACUGCAAUAUACUUAAUAUUUGUACUUAAUGUAUUGUACGUUUUACUUAAUUCUCUUGUUUUCCAGAGUGACCAUUACUCUAUCAAAUAGAAAAAAAAAUAUUUUUCUUUCUGGAUAAAUCUAUGCUGGAUACUUUUCACUGCCUUAUUAACCUUCUGGGGGUGGGGAGGAUUUAUUGUAUUUAUUUAUUUAUUUUAUUUAUUUAAGUUUUAAAAUGUAUCUCACUGUCCUUUGAUUCUCUUGUUUUUCUCCCUUUUUAAAAAACAGGUUCCUGGUAUGCUCCACUGGAGUCAUCUGGGGCUUGCAAGCAUUUCUAUGGUUUAUGUUCAGUCAGGGAUAGAUGUCUUCAUUUCUCCAAAUAAAGGUUCAUCUCACAAAUAAUGAAUACAUAAAAAAAGUUUAGAAGCUGUAUUGAAAAUGGUGUUAUAUGUCAUGAAUUUCAGCAGUUUAAAAUAACUGGUUUCUGCUUUGUUAGGCAAUCUCGUGUUUUGCAUGCCGUUGCCAGCUCAGAGGAGCAAGUAAAAAUUGUUAAAAACAUUUUUUUAACUGUUCCUAUUUGAAGAUACAAAAGUGCGUUUAGUCAAGAUUGCAGAGCAAUCCAGUUCAAGUUGUUCAAAAGCACAGAAGUGUCUCUAAAGACUGGGGUCAUCCUGUCUCCUUCCACCUGCCCUGCUGAGUAGUCUUCUGUAUAUCAAAAUUUUUGUUUGAAAUAACUAUUCAGUGAGAUCUUUUUUAUAUUUUAUAUGUGGUUUGCAUUGCUAGAACUUUCUCCCUUGAGUUCCUUGUUCUGCUGAACAGAUAGCUGUGUGAAAGUUAGCAUUUGCACAUUUCUGCCAACAGUGCUGAUCCAUAAAUCCCCUGUUUGAAGCCUUUUGAAGUACCUGGAUACACAGGUUUCUAGCUUGUGCCACACUCUGUGCCAUAAUAUUUACUGGCACCUGCUGAUAUUUGUACCCAAGCUACUAAGGUAAAUUAAAUUAACUUUUGAAGUAAUGCUGCUUUGCCCUUGCUGGAACUGAUAACUUCACUGUAUUGGUCAGAUAGGAAUGCUUUUCACAUCCCUUACAAAAACAGGCCAAUUAGCUGUCCUGUGGUAUCCAGGUUGUCUUUGCAACUAACGUCAGAGCCUGAUGAAGUAAGUUGUUCAGUUUCAGUCAAAUUCUCCCUUUUUAAAGGUAAGUUAACUUGUUUAAAUAUUUGUUUAAAUACUUAUUAAAAUAAACAGAACUAUUUAAAAAUAACUUAAAAAUAAGAAGAGUUGCAUUGGAAUAAUUAAAAUAAUAUUUGCCAAUUAAAGGCAAGCAGAUUCAGAGGAAUAAUUGAAAUGUCAGCAUAUGGGGAAGGAAUAUGCGGUCACUGGGUUGAGACAUUAAAUAUCUUAAUUAAUAUGACUAACAAGUCAAUACAAUAAUGAUUAUUUUAAAACCUGUAUAUGACACAAAACCUUACCAAUGUGAAGUAGUCCUAACUUACCAUGAUUACAUAAUUUUCAGGACUAAAAAAAUGGUCUCAAAAUACUUGACCAAGAGCAGAAUAUCAUAGAUACUCAGAACAACUACAGUAUUUGCUGGAACAAACGUAUAAUUGUUAAUAUAAUUAGAAAAUGAUGUUAACUAAAAACUGCCUAAUUACUCACUUACAGAAAUUAAACCCAGCACUUUGAGGACAUAGCCAAAAGGCUAGGGAAAGGUGGUUCAUUUGGCAGAGCUGCAGGACAGGUCGUAUGCCAGAAUUGCCCUGCGACUGACCCGUUUCACAGCGGAACACAGCCAAGCACACCAGAGUAGAAAGUGUUCAAACUGGGCUGCAGGUUGGAUCAAAGAGUACAAAUGUGUUGGCUCAUCUUACUCUAGUUUAGAUGUCAUCUAGAAGUCAUUCAGAUAGAUAACACAACCUUCAGAUACAAGAAAAUACGGUGACAAUUAAUUCAUCUACUUCAUUACCUUUUUGAUAUGUAAUAUGUCAGAGCAAAGUCCACCAGAGUGAAAUAAUGAAGAUGCAAUUUUGCUGCGCUUCUACAUUUGAGAUAGUGUGUUGGAGCUGAUUUAUUCACCUGAACUUGAGUAGCAGGCAAAGUACAACUGUAGAGUAUGAGCUCAUACAUUCGUGUGCACUUGUUUCUUUGUCAAGCUUCACUGUAAGAGAUAAUUGGGUUGUUCUAGGUACAGUGUAAGUGAUACAACACAGGGCUCCAUGUCAGAACAACCACCAGCUGGAAGUACUGUGAAACAUCAGGAAAGGGAGAUGCACUUGAAAGAUGGAAGAAGCCAUUUUUGACAGAGGCUCUCACUGAAACCAGGUGUUUCAAUACCUUUCUCCUAAAAGAGAGAGAACUGUACUAAAGGUCAUAAAUGUUUCCAUUUUCAGUUGCAGUCUGUAUUAUAGCUGUGGAUUGUUGCAGGAGGGCUGAUUCUGAAGAAAGAUGCUGUUGAAGAGUUCAGCGGGAUUUGUUCUGAUCUUCCUCUCCCAUUGCACUGUGCUGGUGACCACCAAAGAGGCAGUGAUCUUAGCUAAUGCCCACCUUCUGUCUCAAAGACAUUAUGAUAGACUGGCUAACAUCAAUGAUAAAGACUAUCUAAGGGAUUGUUUUGAGAUUUUUCAGCACUCCAGAGGAAAUUCCAGAGAUGGUCUUUACGUCAUCCAACCAAAAGAAGACCCAAUUGUUGUCUCUUGUAACAUGCAGGAUGGUGGCUGGACAGUAAUCCAGCACAUUACAGCCAACAGUACUGUCGACUUUGAUAGAACGUGGCACGAUUACAAGUAUGGGUUUGGCUCUGUUCAUGACAACCACUGGUUAGGAAAUGAAUACAUGCAUCAAUUAACUGGCGGCUCUGUGCAAUAUGUACUUGGAGUUAAACUUGUAGACCUAAAUGCUGAAAUCAAAUGGGGACAGUACGAACCAUUCCGUAUUGAAGAUGAAGAAGCUCAAUACCGAAUCAGGGUUGGCCUAUACAAAGGCAAUGCUACUGAUGCUCUAACUCUGGACACAGAAGCUUACCUCCACGAUAACCAGAAGUUCACCACCAAAGACAGAGACAAUGACAAUUACUUUCAGAAUUGUGCCAAACUAGAACACAAUGGUAUUCCUGGGGGAGGCUGGUGGUAUGAUGCAUGUGCUGGGGCAAAUCUAAACCGUAGGAACGUGAUAUACUGGCAAAAGGACUGCAACAAGAAGCAUUUAUGCAAGUUUUCAUGGAUGAUGGUCAAACCUGUUGAACACAGCCCACUGUAUGCAACUAACUGUUGUCCAUGUCAGAAGGAGGAACUGUAGAUUUUCAGUUGCAGAAACUCAGGCAACAGAUAUUGGCGAAGUUCUGCUUUUUAAUUAAAAAAUGGGAUCCUGUCAUUGCCAUGAAAAUUAAUUUAGAGACAAAUAAACUGUACUGUGUUUAGAGAAGACCAAGACUGGCAUGAUUACUUGAGAAAUUAAUUGGAAAAUUGAGAAGUCAUGAAAGAAAAUUCUAUUUUUUACAUUGCACUGUAACACUUUCAGAAAAAGAUACAGAUGGACUCCUGUAUGCAACUUGGAAAACAGGAUCAGUGGCAAGUUUGUCCUCUUCUUCUGAAGAUGCAUAGCUGCUGCAGGUGGUCAGUUGGUCAACCUUAGCCCACUCAGUGCACGUGCUCACUGCCUGGGAUGCCUUCACUGUAGCUGAUGUACUUCGACUGGAUGAAGACCAGGAAGCCUGACAUCUCUCCCUUUUGACUAAGUUUUGUUGCUUGCAACUGAAGCAAGACUUCAGGAAAGCUUUUCGAGGCUUUAUCGUCUCAAAUUCAGCCACAGACUCAGAACCCUGAAGUUCAGCGAGGUCCUUGGUACGUUUCUCAGUCUCUUUGUAGAUGCGGCAAUAUAAAAUGGUCAUCACUGACACUGGAAUGUAAAAAGCAGCAAUUGCAGUACCAAAAGUGAUAAUGGGCUCGUAUAAAAACUGUAUCUGGCAUUCCUCAGGGGGUACUGUUCGUUCACCCACAAAAUACUGCCAGCAUAAUAUUACAGGUGCCCAUAGAAUGAAGGAGAUUAGCCAAGCCAGGCCGAUCAUGAUGCCAGCUCUUUUGGGUGUGCGUUUAGCUCUGUAUGUCAAAGGCCUUGUGAUGGAAAAAUAUCUGUCAAAGCUGAUGACUAGGAGGUUCAUGACUGAAGCAUUGCUAGCUACGUAAUCCAGCGCUAGCCACAGGUCACACGCCAGGCUUCCAAGAGACCAAUGGCCUAUGAGUAUAUAAGAGGUAUAGAGGUUCAUAGAAAAUAUUCCAAUGAUGAGGUCUGCACAGGCAAGACUGAGCAAGUAAUAGUUGUUAACAGUUUUGAGCUGACUGUUAACCUUGAAGGAUAUCAUUACAAGAACAUUUCCCACUAUGGUUAUUAAGCUUACAAUUGCAGUUACAGUGGCAAUAGUAAUAACUUCCCAGAGGCUGUGCCCUUCUAACUGUUUAUGGUUGAUGGAUGAACUAUUUAUAACAGUAGAAUUGCUGAAUAGAUUUACUUCCAUUCUUUUUCUUGAUCAAUUGUCAUCAGAAUCUUAGCACUCUUGCAUAUUGUUUUCUGUAUAUCUUUUGGAGGCAGCUGUAAAAAUAAAAGGAAAAAAGAGAAAAAGAAAGCAGCUCAUUAAAUAGCACAGACUUCCAUUAGAUAUACCUUGAAACACUUGCAAAGCAAUCCAUCAAAUUAUUUGUGUUCUCUUUCUGUAUUGUCAUAACUGUUUCUAUCAUUGUGAACUAAAUGAAACACACAUGUGUUCUAGGACAAUGUACUCAUGACAUUUCUAAAUGCAAUCAAAACAACUAUUGUUUCAUAAGAUGUUCAAUCACACAAGCUCUUACAUUUUUAAUACCUUAAGAGGCACUCUACAUAUUGUUAAAGACAGACAUUAAAGUUUUGCAGUGUAAUGAGACAGUGAGUCAUGGUGUUGUUCCUUACAACACUGUGUAGAAGAUACGUCAAAAUUUCAGAAAUGGUCUCUAGAAAAUUUGAGGAAGUCACUGUUUCAGAAUCCAUCAGCAGAAAAGGAACACAAGGGUACUGAAGAUGCAUAGGGAGAUAGUAACCAUGCUGGCACGGUGGCACUGGUAAAUGAUUAGGUGUUAGAAGUGCUCUGCUGGGGAAUUUUUAGAGUUAAGCAAAUAGGAAAGGACAAAAAAAAAAAAAGUUUUCAGAAAAAUAAGUUUAGCUGAAAAGACUUUUCAUUCUAGGAAGGUCUGAGUAAGAUAAGGUGUGGAAGUGCUGGAAGGAUUGGGUGAGGACAGAAAUGAGUAAAAUGAAGGGGAGUCAUCAAUGGAUAACCUCAGUGACAAACUGCAACAAAAACAAUUUAAUACUGUAGACUGCAUAAGCAGUAGAAGGAAAUGAAACCACUGUUAUUAUAUUAAUAUAUGUAUCUCUAAUGUCCAUACCUUCCUAUAGUCUCUCUCAUACGGUGUAACUUUUCACUGCUGUUUUCUUGUUUCUGAGAAUGCAUACCUGAAUCAGGCAAUUAGCUUCUUUCACAGAUCUCUUCUGGUUUUUAGUUAUUCCAUCACAUCUGAUGAUGUUAAUCAUUUGUUUGAUGCUUACUCUUCGUAGGCCACAUAAUUUUGGAAUAAUCAAGUAGAUGUUAGGUUUUUAAAGUCAGAAAUAGAAAAGGAUGUUUAAAUUUAUCAGCCAUCUACUCAGUAAAAAAACAGGUAAGAAGAUGAUUUUUUUUUUUUUUUGUAACUGAUACGGAUUCAGCUAAAAUUAUCAUAUAGGUCACCAAGUCCAACUUUUAAGUCUUCAGGAUACAAAAUCUCUCUUUUGUAGUCCUUCCUAUCCAUUCAUACCACUCCUCUUUCAUCCUAACUCUUGGAACAUUAUUUUCUUUGGUCUUUGCAAAUGUCUUGCAUUAACUGCAAGCUUUCCAGCCUGUAGUUUUCACACAUUGUCAUCUAUUUUAGUGCCCAGUAGCAGGCUCCUGAGUAGAUGAAUAUCAGCUGAAUAUAUAAAUGUUUUAUAGCCACUUGAUGAAUUUUCAGAAAAUAAUCUCAAUAUUUCCCACUGUCAUUUUACUUUAUAUUUUAUUUUAUAUUUUAUUUUUUCCUUCACUUUUGUUAUCCAGUGUCUUUUAAGUAUCCACAAAAGUAUAUCAGAUUUCUUCUUUAAACAUUCCAUAAAGACUACCUCUUGUGAUGAGAUUUGAUAACAGUAAGCUUGCUGGUGUACUGAGACCACUGGCUAUGACUCUGACUGAAGUGGUGCUUCACCACUUUGUCUCUCUGUCAUCUCCUGUCUUAUAUUUAGACGUCCAUAAGUCUGUAUCCUGUUUAUGCAUAAUGCAUACUGAGUGUAGCUGAACAGGAUUUUAGUUAAUGUAUAGACCUUGUAGCCUAGCAAUAAGCACAGUAAUUAUAACAUAUGCAUGUUGACCAUCUGUAUGCUUAGCUUCUCUGGCCUCAUGAGCCAGCCUAGCAGCCAAGAAUAGCAGAAGUGACACAGCAGUCCCAACAAGCCCUAAGUGAGGGAAGAAUUUUCAUCCUGGUUCUAGACUCUGCAGAAAUCUACAAGAGAAAGGAGAUGGAGGCCCUUGCUUCUUGCUUUCUUCACAACAGUUCUUAUUGGCAGGGCAGCUGACCUCAGACAGCUAAGCUCUAACUUAGUCAACUGAGCUCCUACAAAGGGGAUGUGCAUUCUGCCCGACAACUAACACAGCUGAAACAUUGCCAGUGCUCGUAGCUGUACGGCAAGUGAGAUUUCAGAAAAACCUUGAGACAGCCUCAAAAAGGCAGUAAGUAUGAAUGUCAAUCAAGCACACGAAUAAACCUCUAUUAACUGGCUGCCUUCUACAUUAGAAUCAUAGAAUCAUAGAAUUAUUGAGGUUGGAAAAGAUUCCAGGAUUGUCCAACCCCAACCUAUCCCCACCAUGCCCACUUACCAUGCCUAACACCUGGGGUUCUGCAGCAGGUCAGGAAGAUUACAGGAGGCUGAAUUUCUUUUUCUUUUUUUUUUCUUUCUUUCUUUCUUUUUUUUUUUUUCUUCCCUAAAAUGUGACACCCUUCUCAGAAUAGUAGAGAGUAGAAAUU